Molecule: ribosomal RNA, 372 nt
Filed under: uncultured bacterium
Lineage: Bacteria
Description: bacterial SSU rRNA
Rfam family: Bacterial small subunit ribosomal RNA
Source: RNAcentral
UACGGAGGGUGCAAGCGUUAUCCGGAUUCACUGGGUUUAAAGGGUGCGUAGGCGGACAGGUAAGUCAGUGGUGAAAUCUCCGGGCUUAACCCGGAAACUGCCGUUGAUACUAUUUGUCUUGAAUACUGUGGAGGUAAGCGGAAUAUGUCAUGUAGCGGUGAAAUGCUUAGAUAUGACAUAGAACACCAAUUGCGAAGGCAGCUUACUACACAGCGAUUGACGCUGAGGCACGAAAGCGUGGGGAUCAAACAGGAUUAGAUACCCUGGUAGUCCACGCCCUAAACGAUGAUUACUCGACAUACGCGAUACACUGUGUGUGUCUGAGCGAAAGCAUUAAGUAAUCCACCUGGGAAGUACGUUCGCAAGAAUGAA